CUAAUAUGUAUCUUAUACUUUGUAAUUAUUAUUUUGUCUCAGGGAGCGUAAACUUCACCAUGAGUGCUGCAAUAUAGAACACCAAAUUUGAGGUUCUGAUCUGAUCUCUGACCAAUCCUGUGGCAAAUCUUUUAAGAAAGGAACAGGAAUUUGCUGCUGAGUAAUAUGACUCACAAGUCAGAAACUCAAACCCCUUUACGACUAAAAGGGAUUCUUAACUAAUGUAAUCUGAUGUGAAUCAGCUUUAAUGAAUGAUAAUUAAUCGAACCAAAGCUCUAGAGUAACGGCCAAGCUGGUUAUCUUUGGAUGCUGCAUUUUAUAAGAUUGGAUAUUUCAAUGAGAUAUUUAUACUCUUUAAUUA
Molecule: long non-coding RNA, 361 nt
Organism: Rosa rugosa (rugosa rose)
Lineage: Eukaryota; Viridiplantae; Streptophyta; Magnoliopsida; Rosales; Rosaceae
Exons: 2
Source: RefSeq, a predicted model, not a curated record